Molecule: ribosomal RNA, 443 nt
Filed under: uncultured bacterium
Lineage: Bacteria
Description: partial 16S ribosomal RNA
Rfam family: Bacterial small subunit ribosomal RNA
Source: RNAcentral
CCUACGGGUGGCAGCAGUGGGGAAUAUUGGGCAAUGGAGGAAACUCUGACCCAGCAAUGCCGCGUGAAUGAAGAAGGUCUUCGGAUUGUAAAGUUCUUUAGUCAGGGAAGAAUAAAAUGACGGUCCCUGAAGACUAAGCUCCGGCUAACUACGAGCCAGCAGCCGCGGGAAUACGUAGGGGGCAAGCGUUAUCCGGAUUUACUGGGUGUAAAGGGGGCGCAGACGGCAAUGCAAGCCAGGAGUGAAAGUCCGGGGCCCAACCCCGGGACUGCUCUUGGAACUGCAUGGCUGGAGUACAGGAGGGGCAGGCGGAAUGCCUAGUGUAGCGGUGAAAUGCGUAGAUAUUAGGAGGAACACCGGUGGCGAAGGCGGCCUGCUGGACUGUGACUGACGUUGAGGCCCGAAGGCGUGGGGAGCAAACAGGAUUAGAUACCCCAGUAGUC